UGGGGAAUCUUGCACAAUGGGGGCAACCCUGAUGCAGCGACGCCGCGUGAGCGAUGAAGGUUUUCGAAUCGUAAAGCUCUGUCCUAUGGGAAGAUAAUGACGGUACCAUAGGAGGAAGCCCCGGCUAACUACGUGCCAGCAGCCGCGGUAAUACGUAGGGGGCGAGCGUUGUCCGGAAUUACUGGGCGUAAAGGGUUCGCAGGCGGCAUGGCAAGUCCGAUGUAAAAGGCGAAGGCUCAACCUUCGUAAGCAUCGGAAACUGUCAAGCUUGAGUGAAGGAGAGGCAAGUGGAAUUCCUAGUGUAGCGGUGAAAUGCGUAGAUAUUAGGAGGAAUACCGGUGGCGAAGGCGACUUGCUGGACUUAAACUGACGCUGAGGAACGAAAGCGUGGGUAGCAAACAGG
RNAcentral lists this ribosomal RNA (403 nucleotides) under Bacteroidota bacterium. RNAcentral describes it as "Bacteroidetes bacterium partial 16S ribosomal RNA". It matches the Rfam family "Bacterial small subunit ribosomal RNA", at positions 355 to 776 of the family's 1533-position model. Lineage: Bacteria; Pseudomonadati; Bacteroidota. The record is from RNAcentral.